GAACACACUCAGUUUAAAACCAAAACGACCCAACACACGCUCUCUGCCCAAGAACCCUAAAAAUCGCCGCACAUCGAAUUCACCGGCGUUCAUCAUCUCCGUCGCUGUUCAGGCUCUCCAAGAGCUCUACACCCUCAGUUCCGCCUUUAAUUCUUCAGUACCGAGGUCUUUCCUGUGCAUCUUGCUGGUAGAUGCUCUAUUUCGAGUGCUCGAAGCUUGAGCUUAAUCAGUCAAUUGGGGGCUUAGUUCUUGAGUUGUUACCCCUUGGAAGAUCGGCAUCUUUUCCUCUCUAACUAUUUUCGAUUUGUUCUGGGGGCUGACACAUUAACUCGGAUUCUCCUUCCUAGAGGCUGCGUUAAUAUAUAGCUGAAGAUUUCAGGAAUUGGUGUGAAAGUGAAUGUGUCGGACUCAAAGGGAUAGAAGAAUGUUCAGACAAUUAUAAUUGGAUGCUUACUUGCUGGAAUUGGUAUUGGCAUCUCAUCAACCAUUGUGCCACUGUACAUAUCUGAGGCAUUAGAACUUUUCCGGAAGCAGGGAGUGGAUUUUUUGAUUGCUCCAGAUGUUGCAUUUCUACCAGUGAACAUUUGUAUCCGUGUGGGUGCACAUUGUGGUUUGUAAAACAGUUGCCAAAGCAGAUCAGAUUCAGAUGUAUAUGGCCAUGCAACAUCAAACCUUGUAGCUGGAGUGGUUUUGAAAAGGACGUCUGGACCUAGACAGCCGAGGGAAGGCCUUUUGUUGGUUAUUUUGUCUAGUUAAAGAUUUUUCCAAAUUUGGGGUAGAUGGUUUAUGGAAUGACAUGAAUGAGCCUGCUGUCUUUGAGGUGAAGUGAAUCAAGUUCUUUGCAUUCCAUUAUUCUAUAUGUCUGCUUAAUCUCUCAUCUCAGUUAUUCUUUUGAGACAAUUACAAAAAUCAUGCCCGAGAGUACUAUUCACAGGGGAGAUGCUGAACUUGGAGGAUGCCAAAAUCACGCACAUUAUCACAAUGUGUAUGGAAUGUUAAUGGCCAGAUCAACAUAUGAAGGCAUGAAAGUAGCUGAUGAGAGUAAUAAUCUAUCAGGGAGCAUCUAUAUAUGAGCAUAUCCAUGGUUCCCCAACUGUAGGCUGCAAGGAGUCGCAGGACUUAUUCUAAGACGGACCUCGACAUCAUUGGUUGGAGUCGCUAAAUUAUAUCCAGUCUAUUAUGUAGUUUGGAUUCUCAUAAGUUAGACAGAUUAAUUGCAUGUUAUCGGAUAUUUUAAGAUGCACAUUUUAAAUUUAUGUUUAAUUAGAUGUUUGGAGUAGAUAAAUUUGAAUGUUGGACUAGUUGUAUUGGAUGAAUGUUGGAUCUACAUUGGUUUAUAU
Daucus carota subsp. sativus is the source of this 1340-nucleotide long non-coding RNA. RefSeq lists it as uncharacterized. Lineage: Eukaryota; Viridiplantae; Streptophyta; Magnoliopsida; Apiales; Apiaceae. The record is from RefSeq and is a predicted model, not a curated record. The transcript is spliced from 9 exons.